RNAcentral lists this ribosomal RNA (1471 nucleotides) under metagenome. RNAcentral's name for it is "bacterial LSU rRNA". It matches the Rfam family "Bacterial large subunit ribosomal RNA", at positions 1478 to 2925 of the family's 2925-position model. The record is from RNAcentral.
UCGGCUAGGCCAGCUUGGCGUUGGUUGUCCAAGUUUAAGGUGGUAGGCUGAAAUCUUAGGUAAAUCCGGGGUUUCAAGGCCGAGAGCUGAUGACGAGUCGUCUUUUAGAUGACGAAGUGGUUGAUGCCAUGCUUCCAAGAAAAGCUUCUAAGCUUCAGGUAACCAGGAACCGUACCCCAAACCGACACAGGUGGUCGGGUAGAGAAUACCAAGGCGCUUGAGAGAACUCGGGUGAAGGAACUAGGCAAAAUGGCACCGUAACUUCGGGAGAAGGUGCGCCGGCUAGGGUGAAGGAUUUACUCCGUAAGCUCUGGCUGGUCGAAGAUACCAGGCCGCUGCGACUGUUUAUUAAAAACACAGCACUCUGCAAACACGAAAGUGGACGUAUAGGGUGUGACGCCUGCCCGGUGCCGGAAGGUUAAUUGAUGGGGUUAGCGCAAGCGAAGCUCUUGAUCGAAGCCCCGGUAAACGGCGGCCGUAACAAUAACGGUCCUAAGGUAGCGAAAUUCCUUGUCGGGUAAGUUCCGACCUGCACGAAUGGCGUAACGAUGGCGGCGCUGUCUCCACCCGAGACUCAGUGAAAUUGAAAUCGCUGUGAAGAUGCAGUGUAUCCGCGGCUAGACGGAAAGACCCCGUGAACCUUUACUGUAGCUUUGCACUGGACUUUGAGCCUGCUUGUGUAGGAUAGGUGGGAGGCUUUGAAGCGUGGACGCCAGUUCGCGUGGAGCCAUCCUUGAAAUACCACCCUGGCAUGCUUGAGGUUCUAACCCUGGUCCGUAAUCCGGAUCGAGGACAGUGUAUGGUGGGCAGUUUGACUGGGGCGGUCUCCUCCUAAAGAGUAACGGAGGAGUACGAAGGUGCGCUCAGACCGGUCGGAAAUCGGUCGCGGAGUAUAAAGGCAAAAGCGCGCUUGACUGCGAGACAGACACGUCGAGCAGGUACGAAAGUAGGUCUUAGUGAUCCGGUGGUUCUGUAUGGAAGGGCCAUCGCUCAACGGAUAAAAGGUACUCCGGGGAUAACAGGCUGAUACCGCCCAAGAGUUCAUAUCGACGGCGGUGUUUGGCACCUCGAUGUCGGCUCAUCACAUCCUGGGGCUGAAGCCGGUCCCAAGGGUAUGGCUGUUCGCCAUUUAAAGUGGUACGCGAGCUGGGUUUAGAACGUCGUGAGACAGUUCGGUCCCUAUCUGCCGUGGACGUUUGAGAUUUGAGAGGGGCUGCUCCUAGUACGAGAGGACCGGAGUGGACGAACCUCUGGUGUUCCGGUUGUCACGCCAGUGGCAUUGCCGGGUAGCUAUGUUCGGAAAAGAUAACCGCUGAAAGCAUCUAAGCGGGAAACUUGCCUCAAGAUGAGAUCUCACUGGGAACUUGAUUCCCCUGAAGGGCCGUCGAAGACUACGACGUUGAUAGGCUGGGUGUGUAAGCGUUGUGAGGCGUUGAGCUAACCAGUACUAAUUGCCCGUGAGGCUUGACCG